AUCAAAAGCUUUAAGGAAAGCUCUUUGUUUUUUGAAAGGGUGCUUUUAUGAUAUAGAGCUUUUUUAGAUAAUGCUUUUUUAGAUAAUGCUGGGGAAGGUUUUCCGGUUUAUCUCGGAGGGCUUGUAGAUCAGUUGGUUAGAGCGCGCGCUUGAUAAGCGUGAGGUCGGAGGUUCAAGUCCUCCCAGGCCCACCAAUUUACCUAUCCAUUUGCCUUUAUCCGUUUAUUUGCCGAUUUAUCGGUCCAUUGAAUUUAAGUGUUGGUAGCAGUUUUUAUAAUGAUGAGAAAUCAUGCUUUAUAAAAGGCUUGUUUUUAAAAUGUGACGCUGAUCCAUAUCGCUUAGGCAAGAGAAACUUCAGCGGUUCAAAUGCAAAAGGCUUUAAAUUUUGCAAAAUACUUUGAAUUUUGCAAAACAAUUUAAAUUUUAAAGUGAUCCAAGUUCGUGAUCUCGAAUUUAAAAGUUUCGAAUGCUUUAUCCUUUUUUGGGGGCCGUAGCUCAG
This 499-nucleotide unclassified non-coding RNA is filed under the name uncultured Bartonella sp. RNAcentral's name for it is "partial 16S-23S ribosomal RNA intergenic spacer". The stretch from base 118 to 191 matches the Rfam family "tRNA". Lineage: Bacteria; Pseudomonadati; Pseudomonadota; Alphaproteobacteria; Hyphomicrobiales; Bartonellaceae. The record is from RNAcentral.